RNAcentral lists this transfer RNA (101 nucleotides) under Candidatus Parcubacteria bacterium. RNAcentral describes it as "tRNA-Pro". The record is from RNAcentral. Lineage: Bacteria; Candidatus Parcubacteria.
CGGGGCAUAGCGCAAUUGGUUAGCGCACUGGCAUGGGGUGCCAGAGGUUGUGGGUUCGCCAUGCACUAGAGCAUAGCACAGUGCAGGGCGCCCCGCCCCAA